RNAcentral lists this ribosomal RNA (484 nucleotides) under uncultured bacterium. RNAcentral describes it as "partial 16S ribosomal RNA". It matches the Rfam family "Bacterial small subunit ribosomal RNA", at positions 30 to 507 of the family's 1533-position model. The record is from RNAcentral.
AUUGAACGCUGGCGGCAGGCCUAACACAUGCAAGUCGAGCGGAUGAAGGGAGCUUGCUCCUGGAUUCAGCGGCGGACGGGUGAGUAAUGCCUAGGAAUCUGCCUGGUGGUGGGGGAUAACGUCCGGAAACGGGCGCUAAUACCGCAUACGUCCUGAGGGAGAAAGUGGGGGAUCUUCGGACCUCACGCUAUCAGAUGAGCCUAGGUCGGAUUAGCUAGUUGGUGGGGUAAAGGCCUACCAAGGCGACGAUCCGUAACUGGUCUGAGAGGAUGAUCAGUCACACUGGAACUGAGACACGGUCCAGACUCCUACGGGAGGCAGCAGUGGGGAAUAUUGGACAAUGGGCGAAAGCCUGAUCCAGUCAUGCCGCGUGUGUGAAGAAGGUCUUCGGAUUGUAAAGCACUUUAAGUUGGGAGGAAGGGCAGUAAGUUAAUACCUUGCUGUUUUGACGUUACCAACAGAAUAAGCACCGGCUAACUUCGUG